AGUCGAGCGGUAGAGAGGUGCUUGCACCUCUUGAGAGCGGCGGACGGGUGAGUAAAGCCUAGGAAUCUGCCUGGUAGUGGGGGAUAACGCUCGGAAACGGACGCUAAUACCGCAUACGUCCUACGGGAGAAAGCAGGGGACCUUCGGGCCUUGCGCUAUCAGAUGAGCCUAGGUCGGAUUAGCUAGUUGGUGAGGUAAUGGCUCACCAAGGCGACGAUCCGUAACUGGUCUGAGAGGAUGAUCAGUCACACUGGAACUGAGACACGGUCCAGACUCCUACGGGAGGCAGCAGUGGGGAAUAUUGGACAAUGGGCGAAAGCCUGAUCCAGCCAUGCCGCGUGUGUGAAGAAGGUCUUCGGAUUGUAAAGCACUUUAAGUUGGGAGGAAGGGCAUUAACCUAAUACGUUAGUGUUUUGACGUUACCGACAGAAUAAGCACCGGCUAACUCUGUGCCAGCAGCCGCGGUAAUACAGAGGGUGCAAGCGUUAAUCGGAAUUACUGGGCGUAAAGCGCGCGUAGGUGGUUCGUUAAGUUGGAUGUGAAAUCCCCGGGCUCAACCUGGGAACUGCAUUCAAAACUGUCGAGCUAGAGUAUGGUAGAGGGUGGUGGAAUUUCCUGUGUAGCGGUGAAAUGCGUAGAUAUAGGAAGGAACACCAGUGGC
This 661-nucleotide ribosomal RNA is filed under the name uncultured bacterium. Its description in RNAcentral is "bacterial SSU rRNA". It matches the Rfam family "Bacterial small subunit ribosomal RNA", at positions 60 to 716 of the family's 1533-position model. The record is from RNAcentral.